This 330-nucleotide ribosomal RNA is filed under the name uncultured Streptococcus sp. Its description in RNAcentral is "bacterial SSU rRNA". It matches the Rfam family "Bacterial small subunit ribosomal RNA", at positions 1049 to 1382 of the family's 1533-position model. The record is from RNAcentral. Lineage: Bacteria; Bacillati; Bacillota; Bacilli; Lactobacillales; Streptococcaceae.
UUGUCGUCAGCUCGUGUCGUGAGAUGUGGUUAAGUCCGCAACGAGCGCAACCCCUAUCGUUAGUUGCCAUCAUUCAGUUGGGCACUCUAGCGAGACUGCCGGUAAUAAACCGGAGGAAGGUGGGGAUGACGUCAAAUCAUCAUGCCCCUUAUGACCUGGGCUACACACGUGCUACAAUGGUUGGUACAACGAGUUGCGAGUCGGUGACGGCGAGCUAAUCUCUUAAAGCCAAUCUCAGUUCGGAUUGUAGGCUGCAACUCGCCUACAUGAAGUCGGAAUCGCUAGUAAUCGCGGAUCAGCACGCCGCGGUCGAAUACGUUCCCGGGCCUU